GAUAUCUGGCGAACCGUUGCGGCCCGUGCUCGUUUCGGGCUUGUGUGCCGUGAUUGUUGUUUGUCAUCCUUCCAGAGAGUUGCGUCUACCAUUCACUUGGCCGGACGUCGCGAUCUGGAUCGAUUACUUUGAAAAAAUUAGAGUGUUUAAAGCAGGCUUACGCUGUGAAUACAUUAGCAUGGAAUAAUAAUAUAGGACUUCGGUUCUAUUUUGUUGGUUUCUAGGACUGAAGUAAUGAUUGAUAGGGACAGUUGGGGGUGCUAGUAUUCCGCGGCCAGAGGUGAAAUUCUUGGAUUCGCGGAAGACUAACUACUGCGAAAGCAUU
Molecule: ribosomal RNA, 325 nt
Filed under: uncultured Trinematidae
Lineage: Eukaryota; Cercozoa; Imbricatea; Euglyphida; Trinematidae
Description: SSU rRNA
Rfam family: Eukaryotic small subunit ribosomal RNA (bases 113-325)
Source: RNAcentral